RNAcentral lists this ribosomal RNA (446 nucleotides) under uncultured bacterium. Its description in RNAcentral is "partial 16S ribosomal RNA". It matches the Rfam family "Bacterial small subunit ribosomal RNA", at positions 338 to 795 of the family's 1533-position model. The record is from RNAcentral.
CCUACGGGACGCUGCAGUCGAGAAUCAUUCACAAUGGGGGAAACCCUGAUGGUGCGACGCCGCGUGGGGGAAUGAAGGUCUUCGGAUUGUGAACCCCUGUCAUGUGGGAGCAAAUUAAAAAGAUAGUACCACAAGAGGAAGAGACGGCUAACUCUGUGCCAGCAGCCGCGGUAAUACAGAGGUCUCAAGCGUUGUUCGGAAUCACUGGGCGUAAAGCGGGCGUAGGCUGUUUCGUAAGUCGUGUGUGAAGGGCGCGGGCGCAACCCGCGGACGGCACAUGAUACUGCGAGACUAGAGUAAUGGAGGGGGAACCGGAAUUCUCGGUGGAGCAGUGAAAUGCGUAGAUAUCGAGAGGAACACUCGUGGCGAAGGCGGGUUCCUGGACAUUAACUGACGCUGAGGCACGAAGGCCAGGGGAGCGAAAGGGAUUAGAUACCCGAGUAGUC